This is a long non-coding RNA of Poecile atricapillus (Black-capped chickadee), 2358 nucleotides long. RefSeq lists it as uncharacterized. The record is from RefSeq and is a predicted model, not a curated record. The transcript is spliced from 4 exons. Lineage: Eukaryota; Metazoa; Chordata; Aves; Passeriformes; Paridae.
CAGAUUUUUAAUAAUUCUCAGAAUUAACAAAAUUAAUGAGUUGUGAAGUCUCCUGUUCUGAAGGUACUACAGUUUUUUUUCUGUCUGAGGUGAGGUUGUGACCUGUUCUUAAGCAAACAUGAGCAACUCUUUUCUACACAAAUCAAAGAAUUGAGUGGAAAGGCUGAUACUGUUGGACAGGUCAGUGAAAUUGUUGUUGUGGAAAAGGACUGGCAGUACAAGCAUAUGAUUUUUGUAAUGGAUUCUACAAAUUGAACCUUUUCAAUAUAUUCUCUUGCUCCAUGAACAUGACAUUAAAAAUAGCUCAAGCAGAGUUUGGUGCAAUUGUGGCAGGAACAGGUUGCCAUGGUUGUCACUACAAAUCUGAAAUGGUAGAGCUUUGUUCUGGAGGGGAAGAAUUCAAGUCUCCUGUGUGGGUCACCACAGUAAUUAUUCCUCAUGCUGCAGUUGCCCUGUUUCAGUCCGAUGGUAAUGGUUGCUUUGUCACCCUGCAGAGUCGUGUAUAGGAAACAAGACAGAGGCACCACCUAUUCUACUGUUACAUUUCAGCUUCCUCCUCUUGAGUUAAGGUUAAAAUUGGAGAUUUGCAGCGCCAACAGUGAUCUAAGAACUUCUGUUGAUGCUGUAUCAAAACACUCAUGAUAUUUGGACUUCCCUUCAGAUGGAAACCUGAGUUGUGACUGAUCAAUAAGCCCUUAUAAUGGGGUUUUCCUGUUUGAUUUUCUACCUACUGGAUUAUUGCAGUGAUUCUAGGGAUCCUCUUCUUGGUAUUGCUGGGAAUAACAGGGCAUUUUAUUACCAAAGGCUGUCCAUGUCCAUGCUGCCCUGAGCAGUGAGUGACCUACAGAGGCAGUUGUUACUCCUCCAAGGAGAAGGACUGGAAUUCCAGCCAGGAAUCCUGCCGGGCAGAGAGAGCUCAUCUCCUGGUGAUCAGCAAUACCAGUGAAAUGGUGGGUGCCUUUGCAGAGGCAGGGGCAGGAUGAAGUGGGAGCAAGUCCCUGGCACUGUUAUGGUAGUUCCUUCCCUCUGGGAGGAAGGGAGAGCAUAAAAGGCUCCUGGGACCCACCCACCACCACCCUGCACUGGCAAAGACAAGGCCUUCCCUUAGACAGUUUGCAAGAGGGACUUGCUUCUUUCUACCUGACUCAGCUGAGUUUUGUUUGUCAUGAGUUCAGCCUUCAUAACCCACAGCUGGGGAAGCUGCCUGGCACUCUGAAAUGCUGAGUCUCACAAAGCAGGUCUCGGAAGGAAGGAAGGGAAUAGGUGUUCACAUUCACAAAUGGCCCCAAAAUUUCCUCUCUCACACACUGCUUCUUUCUCUACCCUUCAAGACCCAGGACUUGACUGGGUUUCUUUGAGUCUACUAAUCUCUCUGCCUUUCCAUCCCUCCUAGGACUUCUUCCAGAUACUACACAGCAAAUCCCACUGGAUUGGUUUGCAGAGGAACACUGAUGGGAACUGGGCCUGGGAAGACGGCUCAAAACUGAGCAGUGAAAAUCGAGUAUGGUGUUUCCUUUGUACUUUUAGAUAAAAUGCUUGAGAUCCUUCCCCUCUCUGACAUGAAAAUUGGGCAGAAGUCAACCAGCAAUGGACACGCUGCUAAGGGAUGUUCAGAGCAGUCAUGGGCUCUAGCAGCUAAGGGCUUCUUCCUGCCCAGCUACCAGGGCCCAGCUGGGUGCCUGGGAGUCUUUAUCCCAGGCUAAUGGACACACCUGCUACAUUCCUGCCAGUAGGUCCCACCUGUUUUGUGUCCCGGGACAAAUAUGGAUACAGGCACACAUGCAAGCAAAACUGUGACAGUGAUUGUGCCUGUAAUCAUCAGCUGCUCCCAGAGAAUCAGACCCAUUCCUUGCUUUACCUCAUCCCCUCUCUUUCCUCCUUGUCCCCUUAAAGUUCCUCAACAAGUUUUGCACAGGCACACAGGCCCACCUUGAAUGUACUCAAAUCCUCCAGUUCCACUUUCACCUCACCUUUUAUCUGUUACAAAGCCCAAGGUGCCUCUGUCCAAAGCUGUGACUGGAGGUUUUUUAUGGCCCAUUGAUUAGUAGCUGAAGACUUUUGGUCUUUGCAGUUUUGUCUUUUAUUUCUUGAAUGUUUGUGUCUGUGGAUUGCAGUUUUGUCUUUUAUUUCUUGAAUGUUUGUGUCUGUGGAUUUCUGUUUCAUCAUUUUGUCCUCAUUAUGAUCUUUUGCACUGAACGAGUCCUUGAUUGGAUAACCUUAAUGAAGCAGAGGCUUACACCUUUCACAUACCCAUACAGAUGAUUUUAACUGGAUACUUCAGCUGGGAUACUUUAUACUUUCUGUCCCAAAUGCCUUUAGUAAAACAGAAAAAAAGUUUUUCUUUUUUGUUUUCCUUGU